GGGGGCGGGAGCAGGUGUGUGAGCACUGCGGUGGCCCCCAGGGAGUGCAGGAGCUCUGACCCCGGCCAGGCUCC
RNAcentral lists this microRNA precursor (74 nucleotides) under Sorex araneus (European shrew). RNAcentral describes it as "miRNA (ENSSARG00000017491.1)". Lineage: Eukaryota; Metazoa; Chordata; Mammalia; Eulipotyphla; Soricidae. The record is from RNAcentral.